UACGUAGGGUGCGAGCGUUGUCCGGAAUUAUUGGGCGUAAAGAGCUCGUAGGCGGCCUGUCGCGUCGGAUGUGAAAGCCCGGGGCUUAACCCCGGGUCUGCAUUCGAUACGGGCAGGCUAGAGUGUGGUAGGGGAGAUCGGAAUUCCUGGUGUAGCGGUGAAAUGCGCAGAUAUCAGGAGGAACACCGGUGGCGAAGGCGGAUCUCUGGGCCAUUACUGACGCUGAGGUGCGAAAGCGUGGGGAGCAAACAGG
RNAcentral lists this ribosomal RNA (253 nucleotides) under uncultured bacterium. Its description in RNAcentral is "partial 16S ribosomal RNA". It matches the Rfam family "Bacterial small subunit ribosomal RNA", at positions 524 to 776 of the family's 1533-position model. The record is from RNAcentral.